UCCAACUCAAAAAGCUGUCAGUCACAUCAUUAUACUCUUAAAAAUUUUCAUUCAGGUCACUGGCUGUUAAACUCCGUUAAAAAUUUGACGGAAAGCUGACUAAGCGUAGUGACUUGGCUUAAAUAAAUCCACCGUGGCGUGUAUAGUCAGCUAAAGUGGCAUUUUGGUCACUCAACUGACUACAAACUUGCAAUCGGGUCAUCAAACUCAAAAAAUUUUCAUUUAGG
RNAcentral lists this long non-coding RNA (227 nucleotides) under Daucus carota (carrot). RNAcentral's name for it is "long non-coding RNA (DCAR_LNC001740)". The record is from RNAcentral. Lineage: Eukaryota; Viridiplantae; Streptophyta; Magnoliopsida; Apiales; Apiaceae.